UACGUAGGGUGCGAGCGUUGUCCGGAAUUAUUGGGCGUAAAGAGCUCGUAGGCGGUUUGUCGCGUCGACUGUGAAAACCCGAGGCUUAACCUCGGGCCUGCAGUCGAUACGGGCAGACUAGAGUUCGGUAGGGGAGACUGGAAUUCCUGGUGUAGCGGUGAAAUGCGCAGAUAUCAGGAGGAACACCGGUGGCGAAGGCGGGUCUCUGGGCCGAUACUGACGCUGAGGAGCGAAAGCCAGGGGAGCAAACGGG
This 253-nucleotide ribosomal RNA is filed under the name uncultured bacterium. Its description in RNAcentral is "partial 16S ribosomal RNA". It matches the Rfam family "Bacterial small subunit ribosomal RNA", at positions 524 to 776 of the family's 1533-position model. The record is from RNAcentral.